This 624-nucleotide unclassified non-coding RNA is filed under the name Hevea brasiliensis (rubber tree). The record is from RNAcentral. Lineage: Eukaryota; Viridiplantae; Streptophyta; Magnoliopsida; Malpighiales; Euphorbiaceae.
AAGGAACACUAAUUUUUAAGUUGAUUAAAUUAAUGCUUAUCAAUAAAUUGAUUAACUUAAUAUGAAGUUAUUAUGUAGAUGGAUAAAGCUACAAAUAGUGCGUCCCAACAAAGGACUUCAUUGGAGGAAUAAAAAAAAAUAACAAAUCGAUUAAAGGACUUUUACCCACAUGCUUUUAAUAUUGGGGUUAUUUUUGUCAAACAAUAAAAAAAAUGGCGUAACAGUUCAUGAAUUGCUCUAUUUGUAGAGCCAAUAAAAAAGGCAGUUGGUAUUUUAUCAGCUAUUAGCUGCCUUUUUAAAGAGUUAAUCAAACAGAUUGGUUCAGCUGAUUGGAUGUCCAUGAGCUAUCAGCUGCAUCCAAUAGCUAAAUCAAACACCCCCAAAAGAAAGAUGAAGGAAAACAAAUUAUGAUGGAAUUUGCAGAGUAAUUAAGGCGCCGUGAACAAAAACCAUGAAGAGUAAGUAAAUGUUUUUGGCCUCACACCUAAACUUCCUUACGCAUUAUGCAUGAGUUUCCAUUAGCAUCAUGCUUAGGAUUGAAUUACGUAACACAAUCCAAGAACAACAAUUGCAAGAAAUUUUUAUUGACUGAUACUAAGCAAUAAGCAUUACAAGCAUUGAUAU